CCUACGGGUGGCUGCAGUGAGGAAUAUUGGUCAAUGGUCGGGAGACUGAAUCAGCCAAGCCGCGUGAGGGAUGAAGGUACAGAGUAUCGUAAACCUCUUUUGUCAGGGAACAAAGGCGGGGACGUGUCCCCGGAUGAGUGUACCUGACGAAAAAGCAUCGGCUAACUCCGUGCCAGCAGCCGCGGUAAUACGGGGGAGGCGAGCGUUAUCCGGAUUUAUGGGGGUAAAAGGGUGCGCAGGCGUUCUGUUAAGUCAGCGGUAAAAGCCCGGGGCUCAACCCCGGCCCGCCGUUGAAACUGGCAGUCUCGAGUUGGAGAGAAGUAUGCGGAAUGCGCGGUGUAGCGGUGAAAUGCAUAGAUAUGGCGCAGAACUCCGAUUGCGAAGGCAGCAUGCCGGCUCCACACUGACGCUGAGGCACGAAAGCGUGGGUAUCGAACAGGAUUAGAUACCCCAGUAGUC
Molecule: ribosomal RNA, 459 nt
Filed under: uncultured bacterium
Lineage: Bacteria
Description: partial 16S ribosomal RNA
Rfam family: Bacterial small subunit ribosomal RNA
Source: RNAcentral